RNAcentral lists this long non-coding RNA (7471 nucleotides) under Capsella rubella. RNAcentral describes it as "long non-coding RNA (CRUB_LNC003904)". Lineage: Eukaryota; Viridiplantae; Streptophyta; Magnoliopsida; Brassicales; Brassicaceae. The record is from RNAcentral.
AAAUAAUAAGGUCUGCCUCAGAAUUUGACCUUUGAGGCUAUUCAAGUUUCUGUUUUAUUAUUAUUGCUUCACUUACAUAGUUUGUUCUAUUUUACCAUCUUUAUGCAAUUCUAAUUUCGUGUCUUUCCUACGUACCUGUAAUAAUAUUCCCAUAUUUGCUGGUGAUGUACUCAAGGAAUAAGAUUCUGAUAUGCUUCUCGAAUGAGAAAGACAGAACACAGAAUCUGACCAGUCUUGCUUCUGUGUCCUAAUGAGCUUUUUGAGUUUGGAAAAGGACACACACCAUUCUUGGCUUCCUUUAGGAAUUUAUUCGUUUCCAGCCUUUCUUCUAAAUGAGAUUUGCCUUUACCAUCUGCAAAAUCAAACUUUCAGUUAUUUUUUUAGAGUUUUCGCAUGUGUGUUAAUACUCUUUACAGAUCUCUUAUAAACUCAAGCUUAAUCCUUACCACAAGAACAUAUCUUGAAACUUGUCAUAACUUGUGUUUGUUUCAGUUUUGUUUGUUCUACAUGGGAGCCAGAUUUUCACGUAUAGCGAAAAGGUUUCUUCCUAAGAGUAAAGUAAGGAUUUUGAUGGUUGGUCUUGAUGGUUCAGGGAAGACUACUAUCCUUUAUAAGCUGAAGCUUGGAGAGGUUGUGACAACAGUGCCUACUAUUGGUAUGUGACAUGAGCUUUUUUUAUAUUCUCUUGUUUGUUAUUGCUGUUGAAACCUCUCUAGGUGAGGGAUUGAUCAUGAAGUUAGAGUAAGAUGUUGAUUCAACUAAAGACAGAACACAGAAUCUGAACAGCUCCAACUUUUGUCUCCUUUUUAUGGAUCUUAGCUUAUUUGUAGAUAGUUACUUUGUCCCUUUGAUUGUUGUUGCAUCUGUGAGGAUGAAAAAUUUUAAUAGCUUGAUAAUUCUCAUGUCGAUGUUUAUAUCGUUCUUGGUUGUUUAUCAUUUUACAGGGUUCAACCUUGAGACUGUAGAAUACAAAGGUAUCAAUUUCACUGUAUGGGAUAUAGGAGGACAAGAGAAGGUAAAAAUCCAUGUCAAAUUCAUAUUCAUCUAGUGUUUAUCUCUCUGCAAGNNNNNNNNNNNNNNNNNNNNNNNNNNNNNNNNNNNNNNNNNNNNNNNNNNNNNNNNNNNNNNNNNNNNNNNNNNNNNNNNNNNNNNNNNNNNNNNNNNNNGGUCCACAAUCUUGACCUAGGCUCUGAUACCAAUUGUUGGAAUCUAUAUAACAAGCCAACUUUCCAUUAGUAUGAUAUUGUCCGCUUUGGACCUAUAACUCAAGCCCGCACGGAUUUAUUGGGCUCCUUCCCAAAAGGUCUCAUACUAAUUGAAGUGGGAUUUGACUUAUAUAUUAGAAACUUCUCUUUCUAAUCUUCCGAUGUGGGAUAUUGGUUUGUAUUCCAAUAGUAAUUUCAAGAUCAAUAUCUUUGUCUCUUUGGGUCUUGGCAUUGUGUUGCGGAACACAAUGAGUGAAUAUGUUGAAUUCUGUUAUAUAAGACUAUACUUACCUACAGAGCCGGCCCAAAGGCCAAGCCCAUGAAGCAUAUGCUUGCGGCCCUUCCUUUUAUAUAGUAUUUUCGGCCCUAUUUUUUCAAAAAGACUCUUUAAUAUAGUGGUAUUAACCUUUUUUUGAGGGUUAGAGGUAACAAGUUCGAGGCCUAUAAGCAGCCAUUAUUUUUAAUUUCCUUGUAGCCUUCCAUAGCAUAGGGACGGCUCUGCUUACCUAGCUACGUUUUUAUUGUGAUCUGUCGAUGUGGUCAACGUAUAAUGGUCCAAUGAAAUCCUUCAAAGGAUAAUAAUAUGAGAUAGUAAAAAAAAAGUUCUCUCGAUAGUUUUGUAGAAAACAAUGUGAACAUUAAAAUCUCUUUUUUUCAAUGACUUUCCAAUUAGAGCCUUGUAAGAGUUAAAAUGUACGACCUUGCAUAUUUUCCACUAUAAUUGUAUGAACUUUAUUUAGUAAAUCUGAAAUUGAAAAUAUACAAAUACUAAAAUACUAAAAACACAAUUAAUACACAAAAUCUUAUAUACAACCGUGAGUAGUGUGGAUUAGCCUCUAGUAAUAAUUAUUAACAAAUUAAUGUAGUAAGUUAGAUAUCAAAUUUUUUUCUCAAUUUGAAUGGUUAUUCAAUAUUUUUGAAAUUUAUUAAAACAUCUUUGAUAAUUAAAUUUCAUACAUUAAUGUUUGAAAUUAUUUUAUCUUUAAUGAUUAGUAUUAUUAUUAUUAUUAUUUUGUUCUUUCAAAACUAUUUUUUUAUAUAAAGUUUGGUUUUCACAGUUCGUGAUAUGUGUCAUGUCAUGUCUACCAAGUGAAUUUUAACACAUGUGAGAAGAAAAAUAAUAUCAUGAAUAAUAAAUCCUAAAAGUAAAAGGUUUACAUUUUUUGUAAAUGUAUAUAAGAAUAUAAAAAAAAAAAAAAUUAUACAAUCAAUUAAAAAUCCUAAAAUUAAAUAUUUUAAAUUGUAACUAAUUCUUAUAAUUUCUUUUCGUUUUUGAUAAAGUUGAUUUGCUAAUUAAUAUAUUGGGUAAUUCUCAGGCACUAAUUUCAGUUUUUCUUCCAAACUUAGCACACACUCGCCUAUUUUUCAAAAUUAGCACCAUAUAUUCAAAUUAAAUUUUCAAAACUAAAUCAUAAACUCUAAAUAAUAAAUUCUACCUCCUAAAAACUAUACCUUUAAUGUAAAAUAGUCAACUCAAACCUCAAUAAAAAAUUCUAAAAAUUAUUAAAAUAUUUUAAUUUUGUUAAUUAAUGCUAUUUUUGGAAAUUUGUGGAGUGUGUGCUAUUAUUGUUCAUAAAACAUACUUUGAUGUUAUUUUAAGGUAUUUCUCAAAUUUAUUUAAAUCAAAGUCACUAAAUCUAAGAUCUUUUACACAAAAUGUUGAUGCUUCAAUUGGUAAAAAUUCAAAGAAACUGAAAUUUUUUUAAUCAAAUGGUAAAAAAUGUUUGGAUAAAGAUAAUUUGUUAAUUUAAUAUAUUAAAAUUCACUAUUAUAAGUCUCUAGAAAUAUUUUAAAGCUUGUUUUUAUUACAAUCGAAAUCAAACAAAAUAAUCAUACAAACAAAAACCACUUGUAAUAUAUUUUGUAAUAUAUAACAAAAUAAAUGUAGGCAUGGGAGAACUCUAGAGUUAUAUGUUGCAUAGCAUAUAUGGUCUAAGGGAGGUGGUAGCUAACAUUGAGGUGGCAGGUGGCGUGGAUGUGAUGGAUGGUUAUGAUAAAUAUAGUUACUAAUUAUUUAAUUGCUAUUAUUUUAUUUUUUAUAUGUGGUUAAAUCUAAUUUUGAUGAAACAUUUUCAUGUUUUUAUCAAUGGAGAGACACAUGGUCAUGAUGGCCAUUGCUAGCUUAACCAUUGUUAGUCCCCGUUGGGAGGGGAGGUAGUUUUAGUGAAGAUAAUAUACUUUUUGUCAUCGUGUUUAAAAGAUCUUGUGAGCUAACACUUGCUCAUUUUUUUGCAAAAGAUUUUCUAAAUCUGAAGUUUUAUUAAAAAGUAUAAAUUUUAAUUACCUCAAAUUGCAAAUCGAUUAGACUCAUGGUGUUGAAAUAGUGCAUUCUGGUUUUGCUUUAUGAUUGCAAAAUUUAUUUGACUCAAAGUCACCAUAUCAAAGAUCUUUACACAAAAUGUUUAAUGCUUCAAUUGGUAAAAAUUCAAAGAAACUGGAAUCUUUUUUUAAUCAAAUGGUAAAUAUAAAUGUUAGCAGUGAAAGAAAAUUACAGGAAACGAACAAUGCGAUCAAACAAACAAGGUUUCCUUCCAAUAAUAAUAAACCAACCAAUUGGUUUUCUCAAUUUAUUUUGAAUCAAUUUACCUUAACUGGAUUAAACCGAUAUCCAAUUAGAAAAUCUAAUCUAGCAUUCGUAUAUCUAUCUUAACAUUUUUGAAGUACAUUUUAUAUUAAAAUCUAUUUAGGUUAUAACUUUUUAAUUGCAAUAUUUGCAUAAUUAAACCAUUGCCAUUUGAACAAAUAACAAAACUUAUAAGUAAUUUUUGUAAAUAAAUCACAAGCAAAUAGCAAAAUUGGAAACAAAUUUUUAUUAUAUCAAAAUAGAAUAUCUCUCCAAUGUAUUUAUAUAAUCGUAUUUGUUUUUAACUUAUAUAAUUACAUAAAAUAUAUUUAUAAUAAAAUAGAGAUUUUUCCACACAUUUUGUAAUUUAAAUUUUUUGGAAACGGACGUAUAUAACUCAAUCAGUAAAGGAAAAAAUAUAUGUAAAACGUCUACAUAAGGUAGAAAAAUUAAGAUAAUAGUUCAAAAUCAUUAUAAAUAGGAUUAAUAUGUUCAAAAAUACAAAUGAGCAUGAACUUUUAUUUCUCAUGUAUCCAAAUUAAAAUAAAAAAAUUCAGUUUAAUCCGGUUCUUUAUUUAAGAAAAAUAAAACUUUUCAAAAGUUUCAAAAUAUUAUAUUUUUUUUAAAUAUUAUAAAUAGUAAAACUUUUUAAAGCUGCAAAUUAUAUUAUUUAAUUUGAUUUUUAUAGAAUAUAUAAAAUAUUUAAACACUACAAAAAUAUUAUUAAUAUUUUACCUCUAAAUAUUUAAAAUAUAAUAAUUUUAUACAUAAAUGAUUUAACGGGUUUGAGUUUACAUAAAUAUGAUUAUAUUUUUCUUACUGGUUGUCUAUAUUUGAAAUCUUUUACGGGUUAAGUUAAAAUAUAAUAUAUUUUUAUAACAAAAUCGUCUUGCGGGUUGACCAUAUAUAUCAUAAAAUUAUAUAAAAUGAAAAUAAUAUAAACACGUAUAAAACUAGAUUAUAUAAACCAAGUACAAAAAUGAUCAACCAAACAAAUAUAUUAAACUAUGGAUUUAUGGUAUACCACGGGUAAAUCCUAGUUAAUUACGAAUUCUAAACUAAUCAAUCUAUCAAUCUAAAGAUUAAUAAAACAAUCUCUGAUUAUACAAAUUAGAACUCAGAUCUCUCUCGUUGUGUAAUCAGCCACCAACCUCUCUUCACUUACACCACUACACAGUAACAAUGUCUUCCACCGCCGCCGCCGUAACGUACUCCGCCAAACUCGCCGUGAAUCCUCUCAGAAUCUCUUCCCUCUCUUCCAGAUCGGUUCUUCCAUCCGCCAUUUCCGUUCGCAGUCGACGCGAUAUUCCACAUAAACGGCUUAUCCUAGUGACGUGCACUACCACCGGAGACGGAGCGAAACCAACCGUUCUCGUAGCGGAGAAGCUCGGCGAGGCUGGGGUUCAGCUACUUGAGAAGUUCGCGAACGUUGAUUGUUCGUAUAAUUUAACCCCUGAGGAGUUAAACACGAAGAUCUCGCUCUGUGAUGCGUUGAUUGUGAGGAGUGCGACGAAGGUAGGUCGUGAGGUUUUUGAAUCGUCUCGUGGUAGGCUUAAGGUUGUUGGUAGAGCUGGUGUUGGGAUUGAUAAUGUGGAUCUGAGUGCUGCGACUGAGUUUGGUUGUUUGGUUGUUAAUGCCCCUACUGCGAAUACGAUCGCUGCUGCUGAACAUGGGAUCGCGCUUUUGGCUGCCAUGGCUAGGAAUGUUGCUCAAGCUGAUGCUUCUGUUAAAGCUGGUAAGCCCACUUUUCGAACUUGUUAGAUGUAAGGUGUGAAAGAAUUGCAAAAUUGAUAGAUUCUUGUAGUGUGGAUGAAUUGAUGGUUUUGGUUUUGGGUAUAAUGUAGGAGAGUGGAAGAGGAACAAGUAUGUUGGUGUAUCACUUGUGGGGAAGACAUUAGCUGUGAUGGGAUUUGGUAAAGUUGGAUCAGAAGUUGCAAGACGUGCUAAAGGACUUGGUAUGCGUGUUAUUGCUCAUGAUCCUUAUGCUCCUGCGGAUCGUGCUCAUGCCAUUGGUGUGGAUUUAGUGAGCUUUGAUGAAGCGCUUUCUACUGCUGAUUUCAUUUCUUUACAUAUGCCUCUUACACCUGCUACGUCGAAGAUGCUUAAUGAUGAAACGUUUGCUAAGAUGAAGAAAGGAGUGAGGAUUGUUAAUGUGGCUCGUGGAGGUGUUAUUGAUGAAGAUGCAUUGGUGAGAGCUUUAGAUGCUGGUAUCGUUGCUCAGGCUGCUCUUGAUGUUUUUACUAAAGAGCCUCCGGCUAAGGAUAGUAAGUUGGUGCAGCAUGAGAGGGUUACGGUUACACCUCAUCUUGGAGCAAGUACCAUGGAGGCUCAGGUUCUGCAUUUUUAUCAACAAGUCAAGUGAUGCUUUUGUUAUGAUGUCUCUCUUGAUUAAUUACUGUAUGUGGCUUUGAUAGGAAGGAGUAGCUCUUGAGAUUGCAGAAGCUGUUGUUGGAGCUCUUAACGGAGAGCUUGCUUCAACUGCUGUCAAUGCACCUAUGGUUUCUGCUGAGGUGAGCCUUCUUUACACUAUACUAGUAAGAGAUUCAUAUAUUCUUUGCCAAAACAAAAACUUAGCAACUUAAACAUUGAUCGAUAAUGCUGGAAGUAGAAGAAAUUAUCUUCAGGGUGUAAUUGUAUUUACGAAAGCUUAUUAUAUCCACAGGUUCUCGCAGAGUUGAAACCAUAUGUGGUUCUGGCAGAGCAAUUAGGGAGACUAGCUGUCCAAUUGGUGGGUGGAGGAAGCGGUGUGAAGAAUGUGAAAGUGACCUACGCCUCCGCUCGAGCCACUGAUGAUCUUGACACUAGACUUCUCAGAGCCAUGAUAACAAAGGGUAUCAUUGAGCCGAUUUCUGAUGUUUAUGUAAACCUGGUCAACGCUGAUUACACUGCAAAACAGAGAGGGCUGAGAAUCUCAGAGGAACGAGUCCUCCUUGACGGUUCACCAGAGAGCCCACUCGAUACCAUCACGGUUCAGCUAUGCAACGUCGAGUCCAAAUUCGCGAGCGCCUUAUCUGAAUCUGGAGAAGUCAAAGUUGAAGGGAGAGUUAAAGAUGGAGUCCCCCAUUUAACAAAGGUGGGAUCUUUUGAAGUAGACGUGAGUCUUGAAGGAAGCAUAAUACUGUGUAGGCAGGUAGAUCAGCCUGGCAUGAUCGGAACUGUCGGAAGCAUCUUGGGAGAGUCGAAUGUUAACGUCAGUUUCAUGAGUGUUGGAAGAAUCGCGCCGAGAAAGCAAGCGGUUAUGGCGAUUGGUGUUGAUGACAUGCCGAGCAAAGAGACAUUGAAGAAAAUUGGAGAGAUUCCAGCCGUAGAGGAGUUUGUCUUCCUCAAGCUAUAGUUUUGCUACCAAAAACUCGGUGAGGAUUCGAUAAAAAAGAAUGGCUUUCGCUUUAUUUGUUUUGGUCUUUUCUACCACAGUUUUGAUAGUGUCGAAGUAGCUUAAGAGAGAGUACGACUUGGUUGAGAUGAAAUAAUAAGGUCUGCCUCAGAAUUUGACCUUUGGAGGCUAUUCAAGUUUCUGUUUUAUUAUUAUUGCUUCACUUACAUAUUUUGUUCUAUUUUACCAUCUUUAUGCAAUCCUAAUUUCGUGUCUUUCCUACGUACCUGUAAUAAUAUUCCCAUAUUUGCUGGUGAUGUACUCAAGGAAUAAGAUUCUGAUAUGCUUCUCGAAUGAGAAAGACAGAACACAGAAUCUGACCAGUCUUGC